CAGCAGCAGCAGCAGCAGCUAUAAUAAAAAUAUAUCUGUCCAGCAAGCCUGCAGAGUCUCUUCCUGUCAUUUAUUCCACAGGAAUACUUAAUUGCUCAUGCACAGUUGCGUUCAAGUGUUACAUGUUUUGCACAAAUACAGCACUGUUUGCAACAGCAACAAAAAACACGGAGUAGUUAAAUUAAUUAUGGUACUUUCGUAUGAAGGAAUACUAUGCUUUUAUUAAAGGAUGAGGUGAAUCUAUUUGAAAAGAUGUCUGUGGCAUAUUGAUUGGUUAAAAGCCAAACCAAAAGAAAAUAUGUUGCAAAACAGUAUGUCUAGCAUGACUGUUUCUGGUACAAUGAAAAAUGAUAUGCAAGGUAUAUGUAAACAUGUCAUUAAAAUUUGCUAGUAUAUGCAAAAUAUUGACCCUAAAAAUCAUUCCAUAUUGAAUGGGAAAUAUAGCACUUAUACCUGUUUUUCUGGGGAUUUGGAAAGCUUAUGCUUUGUUAUAAGCUCUAAUUUCCAGCUUCCACUGAAUGAACAGCCUUUUGGUUUUUUUUUUUUUUUUUUCAGUGUUUGAAGACUUUAUUGCGUUAGACAAACUGAAGUCCUUGGAAACACAGUUCCACCGAAUGCGUUCUUUAUGCACCGUACUCAAAAAUAUACAAUUUAAAGCACUUAAAACCAACUUAAAGUACUUCUCAUAUUAAACCAAUUUUCCCAUUUUUUUUUCAGUUUUGACAUUAAAAAAAAAAAAGGAACAGAAAGAGUACAUUAAAAGAAAACUGUCAGCGCGGGUUUUAAAAACGUUUGGUUUACCUGUGAUAUUAUUUCCAAGGCUGCUUUGCCGUGGAGACGCAGAUGCCUCGCGCUCAAAGCUGUGUGAUCACCAACCGUCUGAGGGGUGAGGACCACACAGAGCGCCGGGGAGGGCAGGCUGGGGGCACUGCCCGCAUGCCUGCAGGACGAGGAGGGUCUUCAGACAGAGGGCGGGUGCGGUUAGGAGGGAGGGUGGUCCUCCCCUCGGAUGCUUCGGUACUUAGCCAUGUCUUCUGGAAAUACUU
This 1046-nucleotide long non-coding RNA is filed under the name Capra hircus (goat). Its description in RNAcentral is "lncRNA (ENSCHIG00010007482.1)". Lineage: Eukaryota; Metazoa; Chordata; Mammalia; Artiodactyla; Bovidae. The record is from RNAcentral.